RNAcentral lists this transfer RNA (72 nucleotides) under Eutreptia viridis. RNAcentral describes it as "tRNA-Met". It matches the Rfam family "tRNA". Rfam says of the family: Transfer RNA (tRNA) molecules are approximately 80 nucleotides in length. The record is from RNAcentral. Lineage: Eukaryota; Euglenozoa; Euglenophyceae; Eutreptiales; Eutreptiaceae.
GGCUCAGUAGCUCAGUGGUAGAGCAUAGGAUUCAUAAGCCUAUGGUCACAGGUUCAAGUCCCGUCUGAGUCA